This 5878-nucleotide long non-coding RNA is filed under the name Capra hircus (goat). Its description in RNAcentral is "lncRNA (ENSCHIG00010007402.1)". The record is from RNAcentral. Lineage: Eukaryota; Metazoa; Chordata; Mammalia; Artiodactyla; Bovidae.
GAGAGCCGCAGCUUUGCUUCCCUGGGGAAGGGCUGACGUCCUCCGGGCGCCACUGCCCGCUUGGCGAAAUGCCUGGGGGCUGCCUAGAUCCCCGAGGCGGCGAGGUCUGGCCUCAUCCUCCUGGUGGGGAGACGGAAGGCACGCCCCCACUCCUCCCACGCCAGCCCCAGCGAGCACGCUCCCCCACCGCUCGCGGCUCCCCGGCCCGGAGUGUUUUCACUCGCGCCGCCGCCGAGGAGCCGCAGGCCCUCCCCGCCCCGCUUCCUCGUAUCACUAGCGCUGGUCGGCCGCUGGGGGCGCUGUGCGGACUGACGAGGACCGCCCCCUCUUCCUCCCUCUCCUCCGCCUCCUCCCUCUCCUCCGCCUCCUCCCUCUCCUCCGCCUCCUCCUCACUACAGUUCCCACUCUGGGUGGGAGCGAGCGCGUCCGGUUUGCAGGAACCUUUCGGAAAUGGCAACUUGCGCGAUGGAGGUGUUCGGGCUCCCGGAGGACGAGGAAAAUUCCCGAAUUGUGAGGGUAAAAGUUAUAGCUGGAAUAGGCCUUGCCAAAAAGGAUAUCUUGGGAGCUAGUGAUCCUUAUGUGCGAGUGACGUUAUAUGACCCAAUGAAUGGAAUUUUUACAAGUGUGCAAACGAAAACCAUUAAAAAGACUUUGAAUCCAAAAUGGAAUGAAGAAAUAUUAUUCAGAACAGAAAAUCCAAGAAUGGAGAGACCAUAUACCUUUAAGGAUUUUGUUCUUCAUCCAAGAAGUCACAAAUCAAGAGUUAAAGGUUAUCUGAGAUUAAAAAUGACUUACUUACCUAAAACCAGUGGCUCAGAAGACGAUAACACAGAACAGGCUGAGGAAUUAGAGCCUGGCUGGGUAGUUUUGGACCAACCAGAUGCUGCUUGCCAUUUGCAGCAGCAACAGGAACCUUCUCCUCUACCUCCAGGGUGGGAAGAGAGACAGGAUAUCCUUGGAAGGACCUACUAUGUAAACCAUGAAUCUAGAAGAACACAGUGGAAAAGACCAACCCUUCAGGACAACCUAACAGAUAAUGGUAACAUUCAACUGCAAGCCCAGCGUGCAUUUACCACCAGGAGGCAGAUAUCUGAGGAAACAGAAAGUGUUGACAACCGAGAACCUUCUGAGAACUGGGAAAUUAUAAGAGAAGAUGAAGCCACCAUGUACGGCCAUCAAGCCUUCCCUUCAUCUCCACCAUCAAAUAACUUGGAUGUCCAGACUCAUCUUGCAGAAGAAUUGAAUGCCAGACUCACUGUUGGUGGAAAUUCAGCCACUGGCCAGCCAGUAUCCAACUCAAAUCAUUCCAGCAGAAGAGGCAGCUUGCAAGCCUAUACUUUUGAGGAACAGCCUACACUUCCUGUGCUUUUGCCUACUUCAUCUGGAUUACCACCAGGUUGGGAAGAAAAACAAGAUGAAAGAGGAAGAUCAUACUAUGUGGAUCACAAUUGCAGAACUACUACCUGGAUAAAGCCCACUGUACAGGCCACAGUGGAGACCAGUCAGCUGCCGUCAAGCCAGGGUUCUUCUGCAGGCCCCCAGCCACAGGCCCCCGCGAGUGACGCAGCACAACAGGUGACCCAGCCAUCUGAAAUGGAGCAAGGAUUCCUCCCCAAAGGCUGGGAGGUCCGGCACGCACCAAACGGGAGGCCUUUCUUCAUUGACCACAACACCAAAACCACCACCUGGGAAGAUCCAAGACUGAAAAUUCCAGCUCAUCUGAGAGGAAAGACAUCACUUGAUUCUUCCAGUGACCUGGGGCCUUUACCUAAUAAAGAACCUCUUUUUUUCUCUCUUUCUUCAGAUAGUAAAAAAACACAAUGGGAAGACCCUCGUUUGCAGCAUGUAGCAAUAACUGGACCAGCAGUGCCCUACUCCAGGGAUUACAAAAGAAAGUAUGAGUUCUUCCGAAGAAAGUUGAAGAAGCAGAAUGACAUUCCAAACAAAUUUGAAAUGAAACUUCGCCGUGCAACUGUUCUUGAGGACUCUUACAGGAGGAUUAUGGGGGUCAAGAGAGCAGACUUCCUCAAGGCUAGACUGUGGAUUGAGUUUGACGGUGAAAAGGGACUAGAUUAUGGAGGAGUUGCCAGAGAAUGGUUCUUUCUUAUUUCAAAGGAAAUGUUUAACCCUUAUUAUGGGUUGUUCGAAUAUUCUGCUACGGAUAAUUAUACCCUACAGAUAAAUCCCAAUUCUGGACUGUGUAAUGAAGAUCACCUCUCUUACUUCAAGUUUAUUGGUCGGGUAGCUGGGAUGGCAGUGUAUCAUGGCAAACUGUUGGAUGAUAUCUUCUUUCUUGAAUAUUACAAUUCAUUAAGAUGGAUUCUUGAAAAUGAUCCAACAGAAUUGGACCUCAGGUUUGUCAUAGAUGAAGAACUUUUUGGACAGACACAUCAACAUGAGUUGAAAAGUGGUGGAUCAGAAAUAGUUGUCACCAAUAAGAACAAAAAGGAAUAUAUUUAUCUUGUAAUACAAUGGCGAUUUGUAAACCGAAUCCAGAAGCAAAUGGCUGCUUUUAAAGAGGGAUUUUUUGAACUGAUACCGCAGGAUCUCAUCAAAAUUUUUGAUGAAAAUGAACUAGAGCUUCUGAUGUGUGGCUUGGGAGAUGUGGAUGUGAAUGACUGGAGAGAACACACAAAGUACAAAAAUGGCUACAGCAUAAAUCAUCAAGUCAUCCAGUGGUUUUGGAAGGCUGUUUUAAUGAUGGACUCAGAAAAAAGAAUACGACUACUUCAGUUUGUCACUGGCACAUCACGUGUGCCUAUGAAUGGAUUUGCUGAACUGUAUGGCUCAAACGGACCACAGUCAUUUACAGUUGAGCAGUGGGGCACACCUGAGAAGCUGCCAAGAGCUCAUACCUGCUUUAAUCGCCUGGACUUGCCACCCUAUGAAUCAUUUGAAGAAUUAUGGGAUAAACUUCAGAUGGCCAUUGAGAACACUCAGGGUUUUGAUGGCGUGGAUUAGAUUUUAAGUAGCCGUUUAUGGUGUUUUACUGCCACUUUUUUUUUAAAGCAAAAUCUUGACUUAAAAUUUUCCAGGGAACUACUAAUCCUUGGCCAUUGAUGCUUCUCAGAUAUUGGAGAAAAUCGUGUCAACGAAUUAGAAGAGCUAGGAUGACAACGCUUCCAUUAUUUCAUUCAUUUUAGUAAUGUGUUGCAUUUACAUAGUUGUUUCGUUCUAUUUUGAGUUCACACCCAAGGAUUUAAGUCCUGUGUGCCUGAAAACGUGAGAUUUAUCCUUGGAUUUACCUCUUUUACAGUAUUUGCCAGGCAGUUCUUUCUUAAACUACUGAAAUGAUAACUGUGAAUACCUGUGAUAAGUGACAUGUGUGAAAAGUAUGAUUUUUUUGAGAAGGAGAACUGAAAUUUGGGGUAAAAAACUUCAAUACUGAGUACACGACAAUAUAUUCAAUGCUGCCUGCAGCUAGUUAUUAUUUUUUAGACCUGCCUACCGCACGGGCAGUAGCAGGUUUUUGGAAGAAUCUUGCAAAGUGUGUUACCUAUAUUUUCAGUCAACUGAUUCACUUACAAAAAGCUGUCUACUUCUUCAUUUUAAAAGUAUUUGGCUUUUGUUAGUAUGCGGUUUUACUAAACAAGGUAGUUCAUAGGACAUGUGAAGCAAAUUCAGAUUUGCAAAGGUUGAAAGGUAUCAGUGCCUCCCUCUUGCCUGUAUAUCCUAUGGCUCAUUGAUAGAGCCAUUACUCUUUACUGUUUUCAUUUAGUUAAAAGAAUUCCUUCUUCAAACUAAAGCUUGACAAAGCAGUAUUCCUAAAUAUGCCUUGAAGAACUAAGUUAAAUGUAUAAUACUUGCCUUUACUAGUCAUUCUUUACACUUGCACAAUUAUGUAGUCCUUACAUGUUUACAGGGUUUAUUAUGUUUACAGAUUAAGCUAAUUUCUGUAGUUGCAUUUUUAUAUUUUUAGUAUUUCACUUUAGUCAAACCAAAUAAUUUGUUAAAAAUUACCAAAGAAUAGUUACAGUGCAUCAUUUGUAUUAAAUUUAUUACCAUGUUUCUUAUGCUUUUUAAAAAACUGUUUACUAUGAAAAUAUUUUGCUAUAAAUCCAAAACUCUAGGCAAAAUGCUAGAGAUAGACUUCUACUUUAGCUAAAUAGAAGUACAUAAAAAUCCUGUGCGUGCAUUCAACAAAGGUUUACUGAAUGCCUGUGAUAUGCAUAGCUCUGUCUAGGCCAAAGGGUGAGAGUUGUCAGCUUCAAAGAAAUCCAUCCCCAUCCUCAAGGAACUUAGAGAUGUGUAAAGGAAUUUUGAAACAAUCAAAAGUCAGGGUGAGCAGAAUAAGGCAAAAGGGAAAGUGUUCCAGUGCACCUGCAAAGGUAAAGUGUGCCAAGGCUGUAUUUAUAUAUUUUAUACCUAUAUUGGAAUGAUUGUAUAGAAAAAUGCUCUUGAAAAAAGUUAAAGCUAUUUCUCAAUAUGGUAUUUUGGUGAUUUAGGGAUAAUUGUAAAUAUAUGUUAUGUCUUCUCAAAUACACACACACACACACUCCAAGAGGUGUAAAAAAGUANUUCUCAAAUACACACACACACACACACUCCAAGAGGUGUAAAAAAGUAUAUCUGGCUGUUGGUUACAGUUUGCUGGGGUCUAAUACCAUGUGUACUUUUCAGCACCUGGUAGGGAUCUCAUAAGUGACAGAAGCGAAGCCACUUUCCAAACAUCACAUCAGCAGCCCAGCUUAGAGAAAGUAAUUCACAGAUCCAUGUACCCUCUGUCUUAUCUUCUUCUGUGUUAACCAGCAUUCAGGGGAAACACCCUGCUUUUAUCACUUACCAAAUGUUUAAACCGAAGCAACAUACUUCACCUCUCUGGGUUCCUGGUUCUUCAUCUGUCAAAGGAAAAUAACUAUGUAUGCAUGCUCUCAUUGUAAGAUNNNNNNNNNNNNNNNNNNNNNNNNNNNNNNNNNNNNNNNNNNNNNNNNNNNNNNNNNNNNNNNNNNNNNNNNNNNNNNNNNNNNNNNNNNNNNNNNNNNNNNNNNNNNNNNNNNNNNNNNNNNNNNNNNNNNNNNNNNNNNNNNNNNNNNNNNNNNNNNNNNNNNNNNNNNNNNNNNNNNNNNNACAAAUCUAUGUAUACAUAUUUUUAUCUGUAUAUGGAUCUUACCAUCAGAAUUCAUUUUCUCCACAUGAGCAAAGUAAUGUUAAGAUGGGCCAAUGCAUUUUGGAAUGUUCUCAUUAUGUAGAACUGAACGUGAAAACUGCUUUUGUUAAAAAUGGAUUUUACCACAUGAUUGUUUAAAUAUCACUUCUGUCAAAUAUGGCAGAUUUCAGAGCUUGAGAAAAUAUAUAGCUUGCUUUUCAUCUGACUCAUUCACUUGGAUGAUUCUGUGACUCAGAUAAAACAGCGUAUUAAUAAGACCAGACACUCCCACCAGCACCCAGCCACAGACCAGCAUCUGCUUCAUUUUCCAGGUAUGCAGUGAUGGUCUGAAAGGACCCUGUAUUAAGCAACACAGCCCCUCAUCCCAAAUAGCAAAGUAUCUCAAAACACAUUCUACAGCUGGAAGUAAAUAGGGUCAUUUUCUUAGAGCAAGGAUGUCAUAUUUUUUUAGAACUUAUAAGCACAUAAUUUUAGCCUAUAUUUUCUCUGUAAUCAAAUUUUGACGGACAUAAAAUUGUAUUACAAAUGCAUUUCAUCCUAAUUUAAAGGUUUUAACUGUUUUUGUUUCUUAUUUAUAAUCUGAAAUUCCAGAGAAUUAUCAAGUCAAACAACUCUUUUGAAUUAUAAGCCACUUGAUAUUGUUUUCUAAAAUCUUCUGAUAUGGGAAAAUAUUACCAAGAUUAAUGUAUCAAAUUUUAUUGUAUACUUUAAAAUAUAAAACCAUUUUUAAAAAUCUGAUACCAUAAAUAAAGUUCUAUUCUAGCAAAACCA